GAUGAACGCUGGCGGCGUACCUAAUACAUGCAAGUCGAGCGAACAGACGAGGAGCUUGCUCCUCUGACGUUAGCGGCGGACGGGUGAGUAACACGUGGAUAACCUACCUAUAAGACUGGGAUAACUUCGGGAAACCGGAGCUAAUACCGGAUAAUAUAUUGAACCGCAUGGUUCAAUAGUGAAAGACGGUUUUGCUGUCACUUAUAGAUGGAUCCGCGCCGCAUUAGCUAGUUGGUAAGGUAACGGCUUACCAAGGCGACGAUGCGUAGCCGACCUGAGAGGGUGAUCGGCCACACUGGAACUGAGACACGGUCCAGACUCCUACGGGAGGCAGCAGUAGGGAAUCUUCCGCAGUGGGCGAAAGCCUGACGGAGCAACGCCGCGUGAGUGAUGAAGGUCUUCGGAUCGUAAAACUCUGUUAUUAGGGAAGAACAAAUGUGUAAGUAACUAUGCACGUCUUGACGGUACCUAAUCAGAAAGCCACGGCUAACUACGU
RNAcentral lists this ribosomal RNA (496 nucleotides) under uncultured bacterium. RNAcentral's name for it is "partial 16S ribosomal RNA". It matches the Rfam family "Bacterial small subunit ribosomal RNA", at positions 28 to 506 of the family's 1533-position model. The record is from RNAcentral.